UGGGGAAUAUUGGACAAUGGGCGCAAGCCUGAUCCAGCCAUGCCGCGUGAGUGAUGAAGGCCUUAGGGUUGUAAAGCUCUUUCGCCGGUGAAGAUAAUUGACGGUAACCGGAGAAGAAGCCCCGGCUAACUUCGUGCCAGCAGCCGCGGUAAUACGAAGGGGGCUAGCGUUGCUCGGGAUCACUGGGCGUAAAGCGCACGUAGGCGGAUCGUUAAGUCAGGGGUGAAAUCCUGGAGCUCAACUCCAGAACUGCCCUUGAUACUGGCGAUCUCGAGUUCGAGAGAGGUUGGUGGAAACUCCGAGUGUAGAGGUGAAAUUCGUAGAUAUUCGGAAGAACACCAGUGGCGAAGGCGGCCAACUGGCUCGAUACUGACGCUGAGGUGCGAAAGCGUGGGGAGCAAACAGGAUUAGAUACCCCUGGUAGUCCACGCCGUAAACGAUGGAUGCUAGCCGUUGGGGGGUUUACCUCUCAGUGGCGCAGCUAACGCCUUAAGCAUCCCGCCUGGGGAGUACGGUCGCAAGAUUAAAACUUAAUGAAUUGACGGGGUCAUAGCUGUUUCCU
This 562-nucleotide ribosomal RNA is filed under the name uncultured bacterium. RNAcentral describes it as "partial 16S ribosomal RNA". It matches the Rfam family "Bacterial small subunit ribosomal RNA", at positions 355 to 1375 of the family's 1533-position model. The record is from RNAcentral.